Perognathus longimembris pacificus (Pacific pocket mouse) is the source of this 1440-nucleotide long non-coding RNA. RefSeq lists it as uncharacterized. The transcript has 2 exons. NCBI's taxonomy places the organism in Eukaryota, Metazoa, Chordata, Mammalia, Rodentia, Heteromyidae. The record is from RefSeq and is a predicted model, not a curated record.
CUCUCAACUUUACCUUCCAAGAAGCUGAGAUUCCAGGCAUGGUCCACUUUGCAUAGCCUUUCUCUAUCACUUCUAAGUCCCUAAGAGUAGUGGACAUUAUUAUUUAUAUGUUCUUCUGCCCUGUAUAUGACUUGUCCUGCCAUAAACAAUUGAAUUAAUUUUGACAGCCAUGUUGAUUUGAGAAUAAUCUCUCAACUCAAAUAUUCGCCUUAGAUAUUUUGUUUCAAGAGAUUUUCUCUUUAAAACACAUGGUGGUAUAAGGAAAAGAGAAGACAAAAUGGACAAGUCAGAAGUUACCCUGUCAAAAUGGUAUUAGAAGAGAUUGGCAUUUAAAUGGUAAGAGACAUAAGUGAACAUCUUAAACAAAGGAAGGCCCUAAAAUUGGAUGAACUCUUUCACCUUAACAUUGCGCUGCCCUCAUUAAAACUCAGCCACAAAAUCAGUGGUUAAAAAUGUGUCCCAAUUUCCACUUGGUGCUAGUGUUACUUGAAAAUGUAACCCAAACUGGGCUCUCCGGACACAGGAAAUAUGUGAUUUGUUCCUGAGAGAAUAUUUGUGAUGGUACAGCCACAAGAAGUUCUGAAGGCAAGCACAAAAUAUUCCCUGGGUCAUGAUUUAUAUACACUGAACAGACAAUAAACUCACCAUCCUCCCUCACUUGCUCAGAAAGUGCUCCCAGCUAGCUAUAACUCCAGUCGAGUAUUGUUUGAAGCAACAUUUCCCAAAGUUAUUGAGUGUCUUCUUAUUUACAAAAGAAGCAAUUCAUUUUGUAGGACAUUUCAAAUUGGCAAAUGGCCAGUGACAAUUUUGACCAAUGCUGGGUGCAAAAAAAAGGUACUGCAAAACACAAAGCCUUAGAAUAUUUAGGGAAUAUGGAAACAAAAAGGAAGAUUAUUCAUCCUUCCAUAUGGCUUUUUAAAGCCCUUUGCAAUUAUGUGCCGUUUAUGGUCGUUUCUAUAAAAUCUUCUCCAUUGAGAAGGCAGAAGACUUGCUUGAGUUUGUAAAAGCAUCACAAAAAGAAGAGAGAGAGAGAGAAAGAGAGAAGGGAUUCAGAAUGACAAUGGUGUUUAGCUGAUUGCUCUGUGAAUCUGCAGUGUGAUAAAGACACUGCUUACCAGUAAAAUGGAGAAUGUGAUCUCAUUUGCUUUCCCAGAAUGGAUUUGAAAGGCCUUAACUGAAAAUUAAAGUUGCUAGUGAGAGGGUCUGAAAAGUAAACAAGAGCUCUGGCACAAUUAUGCAUCUGAUUGAAACAGGUACCUUACACCAGGAAGCUCAGAAUCCCUGUCUUGUUUAUCUGAUGCAUGGGGCGGAAAUGACUUCUGAAGGAAAAAGGAAGUCUGUACUCUCUCUAGGGGCAUUUAGCUCACUUUAUGUAAUACACUGCCUAGACCACAUAACACGUCAUCAGUACUUCCCUUUGGCCACUUACAAUUAAACUGC